CCCAAAGCAAUCAGUUAUUUUGCCAGUUGACUAUUUUCAGGUGCAAUUAUACUGAUUCUUCUGGUUCUAUUAAUGUGUGUUCUCCACUUUGAGAGGACUUUAACUGUACACAAGUAGAAAUCUCUUGAGCAGGAGCUCCUCUCUAUCCUGAUUAUGUGCUGGAAAACAGAGUUUAGAGUCUGCAUCCUUCACAAUCCUACUCCAACAAUCACAGACAAUUUUUCUGAGGGGCUGUAAAGACAAUAAGCAAAUAUCCAAGCUUUUAACUUCCAACAUUGGGAUUAACUCCUCCAGCUCCCAAAUUCCUCAAAUCACAAAGCAAUGAAAGCUUGAUCUUCUGUGAAUUAAAAUACACCCUCUCCACAUGAAAAGGCAUGUUUGUGAUGUCACAGAACAUGGAGGGUGCCCCAGACCAGGAAGUCAGGAAGAAAACUGAGUCUUUUCUUUCACACCUUUGUUUCAGCCACAAGUACUCUCUCAGAAGACCGAAUUUUGAAGCAGAUGGCCAGGACAGGAUCUGUGUGCUGCUUGUUCCUGGAAACAAGAGCUGACUCCCUUGUCACCUUGGAGCCUCCUGCACCAACAUCCCACACAAACCCAUCAGCCCUCUCCCAAACAUCAGGGAUCUGUAUUCCAGGCAGAGCUCAAAUGCACCAUUUGGCAUUACCAAGAGCUCCAAACCCUCCCAGGUGUUCUACAACAAACGAGCCUGUGAUUUCCUUGCAGCUACUGAGUGACUUGAAAUUCAGCAGCAUGAUGUGCUUGCAUCCACCCAACAGCCUCCAAACACUCUUUAUGGCUGUCAGGGAUCCAGGCACCAAGAGAAAACAUCACCUCAAUACUCAGAUCCUUCUAAUUCCAAAGCACCAGAAGUCAGGAGGACUGGAAUCAUGACCUUCAACAGCAUCAUAACAUUUAGGGCCCUGACAUGAAUUUUACUAUCAAAGAAGUAACCAAGGGAGGUUUGCUGGGAGCAGACCCGGAUGGAAGCAGCAUCAGCCUCAAGUGCUUCCACCCACAGACUCCCACCUAACGCUCGUCAGGCAGCUCCAAGCACUCCGAGUUUCCAAGAUGUCAUCUGGAACAUCAAAUACAGCAGCAAUUCCUGUGGCUCACUAGCAAGUCAUCCCUGUUUCGGACAACAUUUUUGGAAUGUGCUGCCCACAGUACAUUGAAUUUCCUAAGUUAUGCCUGGAAAUCAGGAUGUUUUGUCCCAGUAAGUGGACACUGUUUAAUAAGACCCCUUCUGCAACAAUGGGUUUGCACUCGCUGUGACAGAGCUCCAUUUAACCAGGGCUGUGGAAUUCUGGGGGAUAUCUGCACUGCCUCAACUCUGCUGGCCUCUGGAAAAAGCCAUUCCUCAACAAACAUAGCUUUGUAACUUUGGAGAGGCCUGGGUUUGGGCUUAUUUUAAUGGCACAGCUUUUAUCCAGUAAGGACCUGACCUUCACCAUGUAAAUGAGAAAUCUGUAUUUGCUGCAAAUGCUCUGAUGUUCCACAUCCCCUGUUCUGCUCCAAGAAACCUUAUUUAAAGCCUUUGGUAAAAAGAAAAGGUAUUUUGGGGCUAGACUAACUUUUGUUGGAUCCAGUGAUGUCACCUCCUUCCAGAUAAAGCCCAGGUUUGAAGCUCACCAUGCUCAUGAUCACAUGGCAGGUCAGGCACAACACCCAGUCACAUCCAGGAUCCUGAUCCCUGCUGUGGGGUGGGGAAAGGAAACAAGAGUCCCAACUCCCUUUGUGCCACCUCAGAGCUUCGCCCCAGUAUUUUCAAUAUCUCACCAUUACAAAGUCCAAAAAGUACGAAUAUGG
This 1809-nucleotide long non-coding RNA is filed under the name Manacus vitellinus (golden-collared manakin). RNAcentral describes it as "lncRNA (ENSMVIG00005017731.1)". Lineage: Eukaryota; Metazoa; Chordata; Aves; Passeriformes; Pipridae. The record is from RNAcentral.